UGAACGACUCUCGGCAACGGAUAUCUCGGCUCUCGCAUCGAUGAAGAACGUAGCGAAAUGCGAUACUUGGUGUGAAUUGCAGAAUCCCGUGAACCAUCGAGUCUUUGAACGCAAGUUGCGCCCGAGGCCUCGGCCGAGGGCACGYCUGCCUGGGUGUCACGCAC
RNAcentral lists this ribosomal RNA (164 nucleotides) under Terminalia myrtifolia. RNAcentral's name for it is "Pteleopsis myrtifolia 5.8S ribosomal RNA". It matches the Rfam family "5.8S ribosomal RNA". Rfam says of the family: 5.8S ribosomal RNA (5.8S rRNA) is a component of the large subunit of the eukaryotic ribosome. It is transcribed by RNA polymerase I as part of the 45S precursor that also contains 18S and 28S rRNA. The record is from RNAcentral. Lineage: Eukaryota; Viridiplantae; Streptophyta; Magnoliopsida; Myrtales; Combretaceae.